CAGCCGCCACGGUAAAACGAAGGGUGCAAGCGUUAAUCGGAAUUACUGGGCGUAAAGCGUGCGUAGGCGGUGAGUUAAGUCUGCUGUGAAAUCCCCGGGCUCAACCUGGGAAUGGCAGUGGAUACUGGCUCGCUAGAGUGUGUCAGAGGAUGGUGGAAUUCCCGGUGUAGCGGUGAAAUGCGUAGAGAUCGGGAGGAACACCGAUGGCGAAGGCAGCCCCCUGGGCCAACACUGACGCUCAUGCACGAAAGCGUGGGGAGCAAACAGGAUUAGAUACCCGUGUAGUCCCUGUCUCUUAUAC
RNAcentral lists this ribosomal RNA (301 nucleotides) under uncultured bacterium. RNAcentral's name for it is "partial 16S ribosomal RNA". It matches the Rfam family "Bacterial small subunit ribosomal RNA", at positions 509 to 807 of the family's 1533-position model. The record is from RNAcentral.